Molecule: ribosomal RNA, 1380 nt
Filed under: Triticum aestivum (bread wheat)
Lineage: Eukaryota; Viridiplantae; Streptophyta; Magnoliopsida; Poales; Poaceae
Description: partial small subunit ribosomal RNA
Source: RNAcentral
AUGUACCUCGGCAUCUGGUACAACAACACCCCUGAGCUCACCGUGGUGUGGGUUGCCAACCGAGAAAACCCGGCCAGCAACACGACUUCACCGAUGCUCUCCCUCACCAACUCCUCCAAUCUUGUUCUAUCAGAUGGUGAUGGCGGUGGCCGUGUCAUUUGGACAACGACCAACAUGGGUGCUGCCAUGGGCUCGUCUACCCCUGUGGCAGUGCUUCUAAACACCGGCGACCUCGUCAUCCGCUCGCUAAACGGCACCACGUUGUGGCAGAGCUUCGAGCACCACACCGACACAUUCCUUCCUGGCAUGAAGCUCCGGUUCAAGUACAUGCAAAAUGGAACCAGCGACCGCCUGGUAUCCUGGAAGGGUCCUAGUGACCCUUCGCCGGGGCGCUUCUCCUAUGGUGGCGACACAAGCGCAUUCCCUCAAAUAUUCUUAUGGGACGGGGAGCGUCCGGUGUCCCGUAGCGCUCCAUGGACGGGGUACCUGGUGAAGAGCGAGCUUCGAUACCAGCAGGCAAAUGGCAGUGCAGAUGUUAUCAUCUACUUGGCGGUAGUCGAUGGCGACGAUGAGAUCUAUACUACCUACAACGUCUCUGAUGGUGCCCCACACACUAGGUACGUGCUGACCUACUUUGGCGAGUUCCAAAUCCAGAGCUGGAGUAGUAAUACAUCGGCAUGGGUAGUUCUUGGGAAAUGGUUGUCCCUCGAAUGCAACCACUACGGCUAUUGCGGCAUGUACGGGUACUGCGAUGAGACAUCAGUGCCCGUCGCGACAUGUAAGUGCCUCCACGGCUUCGAGCCAGCAAACACGGUGGAGUGGACAGGUGGAAAAUUUUCAGCAGGGUGCCAACGAAUGGAGCCACUACGAGGGUGCAAUGAUGGCUUCUUGGCCUUGCCAGGGAUGAAGUCGCCCGACAAGUAUUCGCUUGUCGGUGGCGGUAGGAGUACAUUUGAGGAGUGUGCAACAGAAUGCAACCACAACUGCUCCUGUGUUGCAUACUCACAUGCCAACUUAAGCAGCAGCGGGUCCAAGAGAAACAUGACGAGGUGCUUGGUCUGGUCCGGGGAGUUGCUUGACACAGGGAAAAUAGGUGAAGAGUUGGGGAGUGACACGCUCUAUCUCCGACUUGCAGGACUGAAUGCAACAUCUGGUAAAAGAAGAAAGAGUAAUGCAAUUAAGAUUGUGCUACCAGUUUUAGGAAGCAGUGUUAUAGUGCUCAUAUGCAUUUCGUUGGCAUGGUUCAAAUUCAGAGUACACCCUGAACACAAUCAUGAAUUCCCAUUUGUAACAUUUGAGGAAAUUGCACUAGCAACACACAAUUUCUCUGAAACAUGUGUGAUAGGACAAGGAGGCUUUGGCAAAGUAAGGGAUUGUUAG